RNAcentral lists this transfer RNA (85 nucleotides) under Felis catus (domestic cat). It matches the Rfam family "tRNA". From Rfam's summary of the family: Transfer RNA (tRNA) molecules are approximately 80 nucleotides in length. Their secondary structure includes four short double-helical elements and three loops (D, anti-codon, and T loops). Lineage: Eukaryota; Metazoa; Chordata; Mammalia; Carnivora; Felidae. The record is from Rfam by way of RNAcentral.
GUCUGAGUGGCUCAGUCGGUUGAGUGUCUGACUUCGGCUCAGGUCAUGAUCUCACAGUUUGUGGGUUCAAGCCCCAUGUCGGUCU